CAUUCGAACGCACAUUGCAGCCAUUAGAUAUCUUUUGGCUUUGUUUGUCUGAGCGUCGUUAUCUAAAUUAAAAUAAAAAAUCUGUAUCGUAAAUUGUCGUAUUUUCGUCAGAUUUAUCAUUUAACAUUAAUGCUGACUUGUAAAGCGUUGUUUAAUGAUUUUAACACGUUUAACAAGAAUUUUGGCGUUUCCAGCUAAAAUUCUUGAGUGUUUUAUUUCAAUAACAUUCGCAAUAAAAUCACAAUCAGUAUAAUUAUUAAUGUUAACUUACCAUGAUAAUGAUUUUUCAUUAACCAAGUCUUUUGUCGACCUCAGAUCAAGCGAGAUUACCCGCUGAAAUCCAU
RNAcentral lists this ribosomal RNA (344 nucleotides) under Prolistrophorus sp. JL-2004. RNAcentral's name for it is "eukaryotic LSU rRNA". Lineage: Eukaryota; Metazoa; Arthropoda; Arachnida; Sarcoptiformes; Listrophoridae. The record is from RNAcentral.